Molecule: ribosomal RNA, 481 nt
Filed under: uncultured bacterium
Lineage: Bacteria
Description: partial 16S ribosomal RNA
Rfam family: Bacterial small subunit ribosomal RNA
Source: RNAcentral
GAUGAACGCUGGCGGCGUGCUUAACACAUGCAAGUCGAACGAAGCACUUUAUUUGAUUUCCUUCGGGACUGAUUAUUUUGUGACUGAGUGGCGGACGGGUGCGUAACGCGUGGGUAACCUGCCUUGUACAGGGGGAUAACAGUUGGAAACGGCUGCUAAUACCGCAUAAGCGCACGGCAUCGCAUGAUGCAGUGUGAAAAGCUCCGGUGGUAUAAGAUGGACCCGCGUUGGAUUAGCUAGUCGGUGAGGUAACGGCACACCAAGGCGACGAUGCAUAGCCGACCGGGGAGGGGGACCGGUCACAUUGGAACUGAGACACGGACUAAUCUCGGACGGAAGGCAGCAGUGUGGAAUAUUGCACGAUGGGCGAAAGCGUGGUGCAGCGACGCGGCGUGAGCGAGGAAGUAUUUCGGUAUGUAAAGCUCUAUCAGCAGGGAAGAGAAUGACGGUACCUGACUAAGAAGCACCGGCUAAAUACGUG